Molecule: ribosomal RNA, 253 nt
Filed under: uncultured bacterium
Lineage: Bacteria
Description: partial 16S ribosomal RNA
Rfam family: Bacterial small subunit ribosomal RNA
Source: RNAcentral
UACGUAGGGUGCAAGCGUUGUCCGGAUUUAUUGGGCGUAAAGAGCUCGUAGGCGGUCUGUCGCGUCGGAUGUGAAAACCCAGGGCUCAACCCUGGGCCUGCAUUCGAUACGGGCAGACUAGAGUGUGGCAGGGGAGACUGGAAUUCCUGGUGUAGCGGUGAAAUGCGCAGAUAUCAGGAGGAACACCGGUGGCGAAGGCGGCUCUCUGGGACGGUACUGACGCUGAGACGCGAAAGCGUGGGGAGCGAACAGG